GAGUUUGAUCGUGGCUCAGAACGAACGCUGGCGGCAGGCUUAACACAUGCAAGUCGAGCGCCUGUAGCAAUACAGGAGCGGCAGACGGGUGAGUAACACGUGGGAACGUGCCCAAAGGUACGGAACAACUCCGGGAAACUGGAGCUAAUACCGUAUGUGCCCGAGAGGGGAAAGAUUUAUCGCCUUUGGAUCGGCCCGCGUCUGAUUAGCUAGUUGGUGGGGUAAUGGCCUACCAAGGCGACGAUCAGUAGCUGGUCUGAGAGGAUGGCCAGCCACACUGGGACUGAGACACGGCCCAGACUCCUACGGGAGGCAGCAGUGGGGAAUAUUGGACAAUGGGCGAAAGCCUGAUCCAGCCAUGCCGCGUGAGUGAUGAAGGCCUUAGGGUUGUAAAGCUCUUUCGCCAGGGACGAUAAUGACGGUACCUGGAUAAGAAGCCCCGGCUAACUUCGUGCCAGCAGCCGCCGU
This 468-nucleotide ribosomal RNA is filed under the name uncultured Alphaproteobacteria bacterium. Its description in RNAcentral is "bacterial SSU rRNA". It matches the Rfam family "Bacterial small subunit ribosomal RNA", at positions 9 to 521 of the family's 1533-position model. Lineage: Bacteria; Pseudomonadati; Pseudomonadota; Alphaproteobacteria. The record is from RNAcentral.